UACGUAGGCAGCAAGCGUUGUUCGGAAUUACUGGGCGUAAAGAGUGUGUAGGCGGUGCUCUAAGUUCGGUGUGAAAUCUCCCGGCUCAACUGGGGAACUGCACAGGAAACUAGCGGGCUUGAGUUCGGGAGAGGGAAGCGGAAUUCCGGGUGUAGCGGUGAAAUGCGUAGAUAUCCGGAGGAACACCGGUGGCGAAGGCGGCUUCCUGGACCGACACUGACGCUGAGGUGCGAAAGCGUGGGGAGCAAACAGG
Molecule: ribosomal RNA, 253 nt
Filed under: uncultured bacterium
Lineage: Bacteria
Description: partial 16S ribosomal RNA
Rfam family: Bacterial small subunit ribosomal RNA
Source: RNAcentral